CGCAGGAUAUUUGAGGAGAGCCGUCCUUAGUACGAGAGGACCGGGAUGGACGAACCGCUGGUGGACCGGUUGCAGUGCCAGCUGCACGGCCGGAGAGCCAAGUUUGGCAGGGAUAAACGCUGAAGGCAUCUAAGCGUGAAGCCCCCUCCAAGAUAAGAUAUCCCAUAGCGUAGGCUAAUAAGACCCCUUAGAGAGUAUGAGGUUGAUAGGUCAGUGGUGUAAGCGGAGUAAUCUGUGUGCCUUCUGAUACUAAUAGGUCGAAGGCUUGACCAA
Molecule: ribosomal RNA, 273 nt
Organism: Catonella morbi ATCC 51271
Lineage: Bacteria; Bacillati; Bacillota; Clostridia; Lachnospirales; Lachnospiraceae
Rfam family: Bacterial large subunit ribosomal RNA
Source: Rfam